This 465-nucleotide ribosomal RNA is filed under the name uncultured bacterium. RNAcentral's name for it is "partial 16S ribosomal RNA". It matches the Rfam family "Bacterial small subunit ribosomal RNA", at positions 28 to 507 of the family's 1533-position model. The record is from RNAcentral.
GACGAACGCUGGCGGCGUGCUUAACACAUGCAAGUCGAACGGAAAGGCCCCCUUGUGGGGUGCUCGAGUGGCGAACGGGGGAGUAACACGCGAGUAACCUACCCUUGACUUUGGGAUAACUUCAGGAAACUGGGGCUAAUACCGGAUAGGAGCUCCUGCUGCAUGGUGGGGGUUGGAAAGUUUCGGCGGUUGGGGAUGGACUCGCGGCUUAUCAGCUUGUUGGUGGGGUAGUGGCUAACCAAGGCUUUGACGGGUAGCCGGCCUGAGAGGGUGGCCGGCCACAUUGGGACUGCGAUACGGCCCAGACUCCUACGGGAGGCAGCAGUGGGGAAUAUUGCACAAUGGGCGGAAGCCUGAUGCAGCAACGCCGCGUGCGGGAUGACGGCCUUCGGGUUGUAAACCGCUUUCGCCUGUGACGAAGCGUGAGUGACGGUAAUGGGUAAAGAAGCACCGGCUAACUACGUG